Petromyzon marinus (sea lamprey) is the source of this 3388-nucleotide long non-coding RNA. RefSeq lists it as uncharacterized. NCBI's taxonomy places the organism in Eukaryota, Metazoa, Chordata, Hyperoartia, Petromyzontiformes, Petromyzontidae. The record is from RefSeq and is a predicted model, not a curated record.
UGCCCCCACAGUCUGUUCAGGCUAUACGGGGGAUCUGUGUCUGUACUGUGUGCCCUUGCUUGGAAACUCAUCUACUACAACAACUACUACCGCCCUGAGCUUCUACAACUCCGAAUACACCCCUCGUGAUGCUGAUCAUCGCCUUCACCAACGCACGCUGGCCACCUUUGCCAUGCAAAGGUGGUUCAGAUAACCGCCAUGACAGACACUGCGUGGACUGAGGCUUUGUUCUAUCAGUGGACUGAGGCUUUGUUCUAUUCGUGGACUGAGGCGUUGUUCUAUCAGUGGACUGAGGCUUCGUUCUAUUCGUGGACUGAGGCUUUGUUCUAUCAGUGGACUGAGGCUUUGUUCUAUCAGUGGACUAGGGCUUUGUUCUAUCAGUGGACUGAGGCUUUGUUCUAUCAGUGGACUGUGGCUUUGUUCUAUCAGUGGACUGAGGCUUUGUUCUAUCAGUGGACUAGGGCUUUGUUCUAUCAGUGGACUGAGGCUUUGUUCUAUUAGUGGACUCAGGCUUUGUUCUAUUCGUGGACUAGGGCUUUGUUCUAUCAGUGGACUGAGGCUUUGUUCUAUUCGUGGACUGAGGCUUUGUUCUAUCAGUGGACUGAGGCUUUGUUCUAUUCGUGGACUCAGGCUUUGUUCUAUUUGUGGACUGUGCCUUUGUUCUAUCAGUGGACUAAGGCUUUGUUCUAUCAGUGGACAGGGGCUUUGUUCUAUUCGUGGACUGUGGCUUUGUUCUAUCAGUGGACAGGGGCUUUGUUCUAUCAGUGGUCUGAGGCUUUGUUCUAUCAGUGGACUAGAACUUUGUUAUAUUCGUGGACUGAGGCUUUGUUCUAUCAGUGGACUGAGGCUUUGUUCUAUCAGUGGACUAAGGCUUUGUUCUAUCAGUGGACUAAGGCUUUGUUCUAUCAGUGGAUUGAGGCUUUGUUCUAUUCGUGGACUGAGGCUUUGUUCUAUCAGUGUAUUGAGGCUUUGUUCUAUUCGUGGACUGAGGCUUUGUUCUAUCAGUGGUCUGAGGCUUUGUUCUAUCAGUGGACUGGAGCUUUGUUCCAUUCGUGGUCUGAGGCUUUGUUCUAUCAGUGGACUAAGGCUUUGUUCUAUCAGUGGACUGAGGCUUUGAUACAUCAGUGGACUAGGGCUUUGUUCUAUCAGUGGACUGAGGCUUUGUUCUAUCAGUGGACUGAGGCUUUGUUCUAUCAGUGGACUGAGGCUUUGAUACAUCAGUGGACUAGGGCUUUGUUCUAUCAGUGGACUGAGGCUUUGUUCUAUUAGUGGACUCAGGCUUUGUUCUAUUCGUGGACUAGGGCUUUGUUCUAUCAGUGGACUGAGGCUUUGUUCUAUUCGUGGACUGAGGCUUUGUUCUAUCAGUGGACUGAGGCUUUGUUCUAUUCGUGGACUCAGGCUUUGUUCUAUUUGUGGACUGUGCCUUUGUUCUAUCAGUGGACUAAGGCUUUGUUCUAUCAGUGGACAGGGGCUUUGUUCUAUUCGUGGACUGUGGCUUUGUUCUAUCAGUGGACAGGGGCUUUGUUCUAUCAGUGGUCUGAGGCUUUGUUCUAUCAGUGGACUAGAACUUUGUUAUAUUCGUGGACUGAGGCUUUGUUCUAUCAGUGGACUGAGGCUUUGUUCUAUCAGUGGACUAAGGCUUUGUUCUAUCAGUGGACUAAGGCUUUGUUCUAUCAGUGGAUUGAGGCUUUGUUCUAUUCGUGGACUGAGGCUUUGUUCUAUCAGUGUAUUGAGGCUUUGUUCUAUUCGUGGACUGAGGCUUUGUUCUAUCAGUGGUCUGAGGCUUUGUUCUAUCAGUGGACUGGAGCUUUGUUCCAUUCGUGGUCUGAGGCUUUGUUCUAUCAGUGGACUAAGGCUUUGGUCUAUCAGUGGACUGAGGCUUUGUUCUAUCAGUGGACUGAGGCUUUGUUCUAUCAGUGGACUGAGGCUUUGUUCUAUCAGUGGACUGAGGCUUUGAUACAUCAGUGGACUGGAGGCUUUGAUACAUCAGUGGCUUGAGGCUGCAUUGAUUAUUAUUUCACUGUCUCGGGAAAACAACCCAGUGCGUAACAAUACUCACAAUACAGUAAAUACAUUUACAUCGCGUAAUGCAGCGUGACUGAUGUAGCACUUGGUGCAGUGCGCUCUUCGUUUAAUCUACCAGUAGAGAAAAAAUCAAAACCUUCGCACUCUGUCGCUCGCGUUACACCCGCUCUUCGAUACCAGAACGGGAGCCAGCGCUGUUGUUAAAUUGAUUAACCACAAGCGUGCAAGCGCAGCAUUCGCUCUGCUUUCCAAGACAGAAAACGACUCGGCAGAGCGAGGAGCCACCACGGACGAGGGGGGAAGGCGGCAAGCCACGCGAUGGACAAACAGCCCCAUCUGAGGCCGAGAUCGCCAAGACCGCCAGGGAUUUCUACUCGCAACUUUGCACCGCCGAAACUCCACAAGACGAGGCUAUCCAGGAGCUACUGGAUGGGGGGCCCUACCUUAGGAGUCCCAGAGCGGGAUCGUCUGGACAGCCCCGUCACCCUGCAGCAGGAGCUCCACACUGCUGUGAAAUGGCUCGCAGCUGGUAAAGCCCCGGGGAUUGGCGGCCUGCCAGUUGAGUUUUACGCGGCCUGCUGUGAUGAGCUUGGCCCUCCACGACUGCAAUUGUUGACGGAGAGGCCUGCAGAAGGGUGAACUCCUUCUUGCAGGCCUCUCCGUUGUGCGCGGCGCAUUUAGCAUCACAGCGCGUGGAUUUGUAACGUUUAUUUUCAUUUGUGUUGCUGGUGACUUUGUGUGUUUCAUAUCGAAAUCGCCUCCAGUGCUUUUGCUGCUGGCGGCGAUGAAAGUUGUUUAAAAGUCAAAAGUCUCUCGUUUCACUCUCUCUCUCUCUCUUUGCUUUUUCUCCUUCACGUGUUUUCUUUGCUCUCCACGCCCAGCAGCCCAGCUCCGGCAACGCCCUUGGUGCCAUGUGGAUCAGAACGAAGAUUGCAGCUCGUGAUUGUAGUCGCGAUGAUUAUAUUCCGUACAACAUCUGCACCGUCGCAUCGCGUCAUGGAAGAGAGCCUGGCAGCUCAUGUGGGACCUUCCUGCUGAAGUAAAUACUGUAAAUCUAAAGAGAAUUCUAAAGAUAAAUCGACAAAGCAGUCACGAUCUGUUGGCUCCAACGGUGGCUUCAACAGCAGCCGCGUUCGAUAUCGGAACAGCGUCCAAGACUGUAUGAGAAUCAUACGAUUUUUUUUAAUCAUCUUAAUGUCUUACUCUUCCUUAAUUGUAUAUUUGUUUAUAUGUAAUUGUUGUAAUUGUGCGUUCUUAAACGCUGCAUGCGUAAUUGUUUUGUUCGUGUCAGAGCGCUGCGGUUGUGUGCUUGCCCAGAACUGGCGCAGCCUGACCCAGAAAUUCAAUAAACAACAACACAAUC